AUGGUCGGCCGCCUCUUCUGCUGGAUGAUCCUGGGUCUCCUGGGAGCAGGACACACGGAACCUGGAGUCAGCCAAACACCAACCCACGAUGUCACAGAGGUGGGACAGAGCACAGUUCUGAAAUGUGACCCUGUUUCUGGCCAUCUUUCCCUCUAUUGGUACCGACAGACCCCAGAAAAAGGAAUGGAGUUUCUAAUUUCUUUCUACAACAAGGCUCCUUCUGAGAAGGCAGACUUCUUCCAGGAACGGUUCUCAGCUGCCGUACACGAGGACACACGCGCCACACUGACGAUCCAGCCCGUGCAGCUGGGGGACUCUGCCACGUAUCUGUGUGCCAGCAGCUUGGCCACAGCACUACAGAGUCACUUCCUGCCCGUGCACGAACUCCACAGCUCCUCCUGGGUCUGCAGGCUCUCACAGCCCCUCUCACACUAA
Non-coding RNA from Lepus europaeus (European hare), 435 nucleotides. The record is from the annotation of a RefSeq genome assembly. Lineage: Eukaryota; Metazoa; Chordata; Mammalia; Lagomorpha; Leporidae.